RNAcentral lists this ribosomal RNA (635 nucleotides) under Piloderma sp. 5 CC 02-33. Its description in RNAcentral is "eukaryotic LSU rRNA". The stretch from base 262 to 416 matches the Rfam family "5.8S ribosomal RNA". The record is from RNAcentral. Lineage: Eukaryota; Fungi; Basidiomycota; Agaricomycetes; Atheliales; Atheliaceae.
CUUGGUCAUUUAGAGGAAGUAAAAGUCGUAACAAGGUUUCCGUAGGUGAACCUGCGGAAGGAUCAUUAUUGAAAUUAUAGGCGAGGGUUGUAGCUGGCCUCUCGGGGCAUGUGCACGCCCGAGCCCUUAAUCCCACACACACCUGUGAACCUAUUGUAAGGGCCCGUAAAAAAGGCCUUUACGUCUUUAUCACCUACCCGAAGUCUCAUAGAAUGUAAACAUAUGUCCUCGCCUUAAAAAAAGCGUUGAUAAAAUUUAUACAACUUUCAACAACGGAUCUCUUGGCUCUCGCAUCGAUGAAGAACGCAGCGAAAUGCGAUAAGUAAUGUGAAUUGCAGAUUUUCAGUGAAUCAUCGAAUCUUUGAACGCACCUUGCGCUCCUUGGUAUUCCGAGGAGCAUGCCUGUUUGAGUGUCAUUAAAUUCUCAAACUCUGAUUGAUUUGUUUCAAUCGAGCUUUGGAUUUGGAGCGUGCCGGCGUCAGUCGGCUCCUCUUGAAUGCAUCAGCGGAAUCCCAUUCAUUUCGGACGUCAGUGUGAUAAUCAUGUUGCGCUGUCUUUACGAUCUUGAAAGCCCGCUCACAAUGGUCUUCGGUCCUCCGCUUAUUGAUAUGCUUACUUCCUCUAAAUGACCAAGA